RNAcentral lists this ribosomal RNA (462 nucleotides) under uncultured bacterium. RNAcentral's name for it is "partial 16S ribosomal RNA". It matches the Rfam family "Bacterial small subunit ribosomal RNA", at positions 28 to 507 of the family's 1533-position model. The record is from RNAcentral.
GACGAACGCUGGCGGCGUGCUUAACACAUGCAAGUCGAGCGGAAAGGCCCUUCGGGGUACUCGAGCGGCGAACGGGUGAGUAACACGUGAGUAACCUGCCCCAGACUUUGGGAUAACCCUCGGAAACGGGGGCUAAUACCGGAUACGACACAGCUUCGCAUGGGGUCUGUGUGGAAAGUUUUUCGGUUUGGGAUGGGCUCGCGGCCUAUCAGCUUGUUGGUGGGGUGAUGGCCUACCAAGGCGACGACGGGUAGCCGGCCUGAGAGGGCGACCGGCCACACGGGGACUGAGACAGGGCCGAGCCCCCGAGGGGGGGCAGGAGGGGGAAAUAUGGCAAAAGGGGGGGAGGCUGGAUGCAGCCACGCCGGGUGGGGGUUAGCGGCUUUCGGUUUGUAACCCUUUUCCGGGGGGGAGAAAGGGAAAGGGGGGGUACCUGAAAAAGAGGCCCCGGCAAACGACGGG